RNAcentral lists this ribosomal RNA (296 nucleotides) under uncultured eukaryote. RNAcentral's name for it is "partial small subunit ribosomal RNA". It matches the Rfam family "Eukaryotic small subunit ribosomal RNA", at positions 587 to 901 of the family's 1831-position model. The record is from RNAcentral.
AGCUCCAAUAGCGUAUAUUAAAGUUGUUGCAGUUAAAAAGCUCGUAGUUGAACUUCUGGCUUCACUUUCAGCAGGCUUCGGUCGCUGCAAGUGUGGUCAUCCGCUUGGGAACUACGUUCGAACUUUAUUGGUCGGCGUAAGGAACAGGCAGUUUACUUAGAAAAAAUUAGAGUGUUCAAGGCAGGCUAUCGCCCUGAAUACACAAGCUUGGAAUAAUGAAAUAGGACUAUUUCCAUUUUAUUGGUUAUUGGAAUUAGUAAUGAUUAAUAGGGACAGUUGGGGGCAUUAGUAUUUAA